CAUGUGGGAAUGAAGUUCUCCCUGGUUUUAACCAAACCGCUUGUAUAUAAGCUGAUGACUUCUGCGCUU
RNAcentral lists this non-coding RNA (69 nucleotides) under human gut metagenome. RNAcentral describes it as "Fluoride riboswitch". It matches the Rfam family "Fluoride riboswitch aptamer (crcB RNA motif)", at positions 10 to 62 of the family's 64-position model. The record is from RNAcentral.